RNAcentral lists this ribosomal RNA (446 nucleotides) under uncultured bacterium. RNAcentral's name for it is "partial 16S ribosomal RNA". It matches the Rfam family "Bacterial small subunit ribosomal RNA", at positions 338 to 795 of the family's 1533-position model. The record is from RNAcentral.
CCUACGGGUGGCUGCAGUCGAGAAUCAUUCACAAUGGGGGAAACCCUGAUGGUGCGACGCCGCGUGGGGGAAUGAAGGUCUUCGAAUUGUAAACCCCUUUCAUGUGGGAGCAAAUUAAAAAGAUAGUACCACAAGAGUAAGAGACUGCUAACUCUGUGCCAGCAGCCGCGGUAAUGCAGAGGUCUCAAGCGUUGUUCGGAAUCACUGGGCGUAAAGCGUGCGUAGGCGGUUUUGUAAGUCGUGUGUGAAAGCUGCGGGCUCAACCGGCGGACGGCAUAUGAAACUGCGAGACUAGAGUAAAGGAGGGGGAACCGGAAUUCUCGGUGUAGCAGUGAAAUGCGUAGAUAUCGAGAGGAACACUCGUGGCGAAGGCGGGUUCCUGGACAGUAACUGACGCUGAGGCACGAAGGCCAGGGGAGCGAAAGGGAUUAGAUACCCUGGUAGUC